UACGGAGGGUGCAAGCGUUGUCCGGAAUCACUGGGCGUAAAGGGCGCGUAGGCGGCUCAUGAAGGCUGUGGUGAAAGUCUGGGGCUCAACCUCGGAUCGGCCGUGGCGACUCGUGGGCUGGAGCACUGUAGAGGCGGGUGGAAUUCCGGGUGUAGCGGUGGAAUGCGUAGAGAUCCGGAAGAACACCGGUGGCGAAGGCGGUCUGCUGGGCAGUUGCUGACGCUGAUGCGCGACAGCGUGGGGAGCAAACAGG
This 253-nucleotide ribosomal RNA is filed under the name uncultured bacterium. Its description in RNAcentral is "partial 16S ribosomal RNA". It matches the Rfam family "Bacterial small subunit ribosomal RNA", at positions 524 to 776 of the family's 1533-position model. The record is from RNAcentral.